Molecule: ribosomal RNA, 301 nt
Filed under: uncultured bacterium
Lineage: Bacteria
Description: partial 16S ribosomal RNA
Rfam family: Bacterial small subunit ribosomal RNA
Source: RNAcentral
CAGUCGCCACGGGAAUACGUAGGGUGCGAGCGUUAAUCGGAAUUACUGGGCGUAAAGCGUGCGCAGGCGGUUGUGUAAGACAGGUGUGAAAUCCCCGGGCUUAACCUGGGAACUGCGCUUGUGACUGCACGGCUAGAGUAUGGCAGAGGGGGGUGGAAUUCCACGUGUAGCAGUGAAAUGCGUAGAGAUGUGGAGGAACACCGAUGGCGAAGGCAGCCCCCUGGGCCAAUACUGACGCUCAUGCACGAAAGCGUGGGGAGCAAACAGGAUUAGAUACCCCCGUAGUCCCUGUCUCUUAUAC